RNAcentral lists this ribosomal RNA (492 nucleotides) under uncultured bacterium. RNAcentral's name for it is "partial 16S ribosomal RNA". It matches the Rfam family "Bacterial small subunit ribosomal RNA", at positions 29 to 507 of the family's 1533-position model. The record is from RNAcentral.
AGUGAACGCUGGCGGUAGGCCUGACACAUGCAAGUCGAACGGCAGCACAGUAAGAGCUUGCUCUUACGGGUGGCGAGUGGCGGACGGGUGAGGAAUACAUCGGAAUCUACUUUUUCGUGGGGGAUAACGUAGGGAAACUUACGCUAAUACCGCAUACGACCUACGGGUGAAAGCAGGGGAUCUUCGGACCUUGCGCGAUUGAAUGAGCCGAUGUCGGAUUAGCUAGUUGGCGGGGUAAAGGCCCACCAAGGCGACGAUCCGUAGCUGGUCUGAGAGGAUGAUCAGCCACACUGGAACUGAGACACGGUCCAGACUCCUACGGGAGGCAGCAGUGGGGAAUAUUGGACAAUGGGCGCAAGCCUGAUCCAGCCAUACCGCGUGGGUGAAGAAGGCCUUCGGGUUGUAAAGCCCUUUUGUUGGGAAAGAAAAGCAGCAAGUUAAUACCCCGCUGUUCUGACGGUACCCAAAGAAUAAGCACCGGCUAACUUCGUG